GAUGAAGAACGCAGCGAAAUGCGAUACUUGGUGUGAAUUGCAGAAUCCCGUGAACCAUCGAGUCUUUGAACGCAAGUUGCGCCCGAAGCCAUUAGGCCGAGGGCACGCCUGCCUGGGCGUCACACGUCGUUGCCCCCCCAUCUACUCCUUCGGGAUUGCGGGGGGCGGAUGAUGGCCUCCCGUGCGCCUCGCCGCGCGGUUGGCAUAAAUGCCAAGUCCUCGGCGACGCACGCCACGACAAUCGGUGGUUGCGAAACCUCGGUUGCCCGUCGUGUGCGGUCGUCGCGCAUCGAGGGCUCGAAAAAAUUGCCGGGUUCCGGCUCGGCUUUCAACGCGACCCCAGGUCAGGCGGGGUUACCCGCUGAAUUUAAGCAUAUCGAUAAGCGGAGGA
RNAcentral lists this unclassified non-coding RNA (391 nucleotides) under soil metagenome. RNAcentral describes it as "partial contains 5.8S ribosomal RNA, internal transcribed spacer 2, and large subunit ribosomal RNA". The stretch from base 1 to 122 matches the Rfam family "5.8S ribosomal RNA", at positions 35 to 154 of the family's 154-position model. The record is from RNAcentral.